UACGAAGGGGGCUAGCGUUGCUCGGAAUCACUGGGCGUAAAGGGUGCGUAGGCGGGUUCUUAAGUCAGAGGUGAAAUCCUGGAGCUCAACUCCAGAACUGCCUUUGAUACUGAGAGUCUUGAGUUCGGGAGAGGUGAGUGGAACUGCGAGUGUAGAGGUGAAAUUCGUAGAUAUUCGCAAGAACACCAGUGGCGAAGGCGGCUCACUGGCCCG
RNAcentral lists this ribosomal RNA (213 nucleotides) under uncultured bacterium. Its description in RNAcentral is "partial 16S ribosomal RNA". It matches the Rfam family "Bacterial small subunit ribosomal RNA", at positions 524 to 736 of the family's 1533-position model. The record is from RNAcentral.